UACAGAGGUCUCAAGCGUUGUUCGGAUUCAUUUGGCGUAAAGGGCGCGUAUGCUGCGGGGCAAGUCGGGUGUGAAAUCUCAGAGCUCAACUCUGAAACUGCACUCGAUACUGCUUUGCUUGAGGACUGGAGAGGAGAUUGGAAUUCACGGUGUAGCAGUGAAAUGCGUAGAUAUCGUGAGGAAGACCAGUGGCGAAGGCGGAUCUCUGGACAGUUCCUGACGCUGAGGCGCGAAGGCCAGGGGAGCAAACGGG
This 253-nucleotide ribosomal RNA is filed under the name uncultured bacterium. RNAcentral's name for it is "partial 16S ribosomal RNA". It matches the Rfam family "Bacterial small subunit ribosomal RNA", at positions 524 to 776 of the family's 1533-position model. The record is from RNAcentral.